Molecule: ribosomal RNA, 253 nt
Filed under: uncultured bacterium
Lineage: Bacteria
Description: partial 16S ribosomal RNA
Rfam family: Bacterial small subunit ribosomal RNA
Source: RNAcentral
UACGUAGGGUGCAAGCGUUAAUCGGAAUUACUGGGCGUAAAGCGCGCGCAGGCGGUUUCGCAAGUCUGACGUGAAAGCCCCGGGCUCAACCCGGGAAUUGCGUUGGAGACUGCAAGGCUAGAAUCUGGCAGAGGGGGGUAGAAUUCCACGUGUAGCAGUGAAAUGCGUAGAGAUGUGGAGGAACACCGAUGGCGAAGGCAGCCCCCUGGGUCAAGAUUGACGCUGAUGCACGAAAGCGUGGGGAGCAAACAGG